GACGAACGCUGGCGGCGUGCGUAACACAUGCAAGUCGAACGAAGUGGCGAAAGUGUGAGUAACGCGUAAUCAACCUGCCCUUAAGAGGGGGACAACAGGGGGCAACGACUGCUAAUACCGCAUACUGAAGGAGGGGAAUGCGUCUGAUUAGCUGGUUGGCGGGGUAACGGCCCAACACGGCGAUGAUAAGUAGCCGGUGUGAGGGGAUGAACGGCCACACUGGGACUGAGAAACGGCCCAGACUCCUACGGGAGGCAGCAGUGGGGAAUCCUCCGCAAUGGACGAAAAUCUGUCUGAGGAACGCCGCGGGAGGGAUGACGGCCUUCAGGUUGUAAAGCUCUGUUAAGCGGGACGCGGUACCGGAAUAGAAAGCCACGGCUAACUACGUGCCAGCAGCCGCGGUAAUUC
This 408-nucleotide ribosomal RNA is filed under the name uncultured bacterium. Its description in RNAcentral is "partial 16S ribosomal RNA". It matches the Rfam family "Bacterial small subunit ribosomal RNA", at positions 28 to 526 of the family's 1533-position model. The record is from RNAcentral.